UAUUCGUAGAGACACUGAAACUUUCGCAGCUCGUUGGAAAUUAUUGGUGUGUCGAAGAUUUCGCAACAUCCUGUUUCCAUGGAGGACCCUGUACGAAUUUCUCGACUAGUCGAUCGCGUAAACAGGUGUUUUAAUGCAGGUGUUACUUCAAGUAGGAAGAACUAUAUUUAUCGCGAUGCUUAUCACAAUUAACUGGCAAGAUAGCGACAAUCGUUUAUGCAACAACUUCGUAACAAUUCAGUCAACGAACAUUUUUACUCGCGUCUACUUUACUCAGAGUUCCGUCCAAUUUCCGAACGUUAUACUCGCAAGUAUAAUGCAAUUAUUACUAUGCAAUACACAUACGUGUAAACUGCCGAUGGAUAUUUGUCCAGGAGAGCACCUUCGAAGGCUUCGUAAAUACCAGAAUCCCGUAGCUUUUCCAAAUUGCCACCCUGAGCCACAGAUGAGAAAUAUUGCGAAUAUCUGGCAAAGUAGUCGUCGUAAAAGGUUUCCGCUUCGCUGGACAUCGACUGCUUCAUCGUCUUGAAGUGUUCAUCUUGUCGUGCCAAUAUGUUACUCUCCGUAACGAAUGAACCUACGAGACGCAUAAGUUCACGUGUAAAAGUCUUAGUCUUCUAAAAUUUCUAGAAAUAACCAAUAACAGAAAAAUUGAAGGAAGAUACUUUUUUGAACAAAGCAAACGACUUUGACACCGUACUUCUUCAACUCCACUCUAAUGGCAGAGGCCCAAGCGCUGAGAGCAGCCUUGGUCCCGCUGUAAGCCGCUACACCAGGAAUCGGCUGCUCGUUACAGUGGCUCGAGACUACGAUAAUCCGGCUAAAGUGGGCGCGGAUCAACGGCAUCAGUUCUCUAGUAAUUCUCAUGGUACCCAGCAAGUUCACUUCCACUUGAUUCCUCAGCUGCUCGUCCGUUUGCCAUUCAAAUUCACCGAAGAUCAUCACAGCCGCGUUAUUGAUCAAACAUCGUAACGCUGAAACCGAUGUUCCAUUUAUUAGCGUUGGAAUGCGCUAAUUCGCCGCAACCACAGCCUUGAGAUCGUGAAAAAUGAUUUACUUAAAUUCCUUUCCGUCAAAAUCGUUCGAACGGAGUUGGCGAAAUUUUCAACGCUAUUAACCAGCGUGAUGUCCAGAGGGUAAACGAGUACGCCUUCGCUUUCCAGUCGCUUAGCCCCAGGACAACCCAUUUGCAAUACACCGGCAAUUACAGUUGCUCCAAGUUCCCGACAAUGCAGAGCCAGACUGUAUCCUAAUCCCGAGCCGCAGCCAGUAAUAACAAUCGCAUGGUUCGAGGAUAUUUUCGCUCGAGAUCUUAGGCGACAGUAUAGAAUAUCAUGAUCGCACAGAAUCGUUGCUGCGUAUUCUUGCUGAUGGCGCAUUUUGAUAAACGCAGCCCACCGGUAAGUAGAUAAAAAGAUAAUAAUAAAAUGAACGCACGUGUUUAUAAUUCAAAGAUCCGUUUGAUAUACGUUUCAUUAUAUAGUAUAUAUCACUAUCUCUUUUAUUCAUUUACUUCUUAUAAAAAAUUUAUACACUAUUAAUAAAAAUCGAGUGAUUGCUAGAUUGUUAUUGUGUUCUUACCAA
Long non-coding RNA from Frieseomelitta varia, 1584 nucleotides. RefSeq lists it as uncharacterized. The transcript is spliced from 6 exons. The record is from RefSeq and is a predicted model, not a curated record. Lineage: Eukaryota; Metazoa; Arthropoda; Insecta; Hymenoptera; Apidae.